Molecule: ribosomal RNA, 253 nt
Filed under: uncultured bacterium
Lineage: Bacteria
Description: partial 16S ribosomal RNA
Rfam family: Bacterial small subunit ribosomal RNA
Source: RNAcentral
UACGUAGGGUGCGAGCGUUAAUCGGAAUUACUGGGCGUAAAGGGUGCGCAGGCGGUUUUGUAAGCCAGGUGUGAAAUCCCCGGGCUUAACCUGGGAAUGGCAUUUGGGACUGCAAGGCUUGAGUGCGGCAGAGGAGACUGGAACUCCUGGUGUAGCAGUGAAAUGCGUAGAUAUCAGGAGGAACACCGAUGGCGAAGGCAGGUCUCUGGGCUGACACUGACGCUCAUGCACGAAAGCGUGGGGAGCAAACAGG